RNAcentral lists this ribosomal RNA (339 nucleotides) under Triticum aestivum (bread wheat). Its description in RNAcentral is "partial small subunit ribosomal RNA". Lineage: Eukaryota; Viridiplantae; Streptophyta; Magnoliopsida; Poales; Poaceae. The record is from RNAcentral.
AUGGUUGCUGCUCCAGAAGAGUAUAAAGUAUCAUUAGCUCAACUAUAUAUGGUGGAUGAAGCUGAUGUUUGGUUAAGAAGAUCUGGGCUGCUCAAGAAACAACUGUCCUGGAAACAAUUUGGGGCAGAGAUAGUGAAGAGGUUCUCAGAACAAGGAUCCUAUGAUCUAACCGAAAAAUUCACUUCUUUGAAACAAGCAAACAGUACAGUGUCUGCAUAUACAAAGCAAUUUGAGGACCUGAUGGCAGAAGUCAUGGAGGAAAACCCUGACUUAGGAGAAACUUGGUUCAUAAGGUGCUAUGUAAAAAUGGUCUCAGGGAUGGAAUUAAAUUUCAGUUGA